UGCUCCCUCCAGCCCUCCACCUGCUGCUCUCUGCUCAGGCCCUCCCCUGAGAUGACUAGUGAAAGCCUGAAGUCCUCUUAAGCCAGUGUGAUGUCAUCAUCACCAUGCAAAAGAACUCCUUUCCUAAAUGAAAUCAUAUAAGAAAAACACAACAUGAAGAAGAAAUCAAAGGAAUAAAGAAAGCUCUGGGCAGAUUACAUCUUUAUUGUUCAGCGAUACUCUUUUGUAUGGAAUCUCCUUGCCUUUAUCACCAUCACGCCUCCAGCUCUUCUGUAGACCCCAGGACUGAAAGUACAAAGCAAUGACUCUAAGGAAAGGGUUCAAGCUGAGAUGAAGGUUGUGACCCCGUGUCCUGAUCUUUUCCAAAUUCCUGGAGUUUCCCAAGAUCUCCAGAGGGAGACAGUCACUUCAGCAUCAGCCAGAACGGACACCAGGCAAGAAGAAUCAUAAAUUAACAGCAGGAAGGCAGUCUUGGGGCUGAUGGGGGAACACCAUUGUGUAUGCAUGCAUGCACAUGUGUGUGUCUGU
Long non-coding RNA from Bos indicus x Bos taurus (hybrid cattle), 528 nucleotides. The record is from Ensembl. NCBI's taxonomy places the organism in Eukaryota, Metazoa, Chordata, Mammalia, Artiodactyla, Bovidae.